RNAcentral lists this ribosomal RNA (484 nucleotides) under uncultured bacterium. RNAcentral describes it as "partial 16S ribosomal RNA". It matches the Rfam family "Bacterial small subunit ribosomal RNA", at positions 30 to 507 of the family's 1533-position model. The record is from RNAcentral.
AUUGAACGCUGGCGGCAGGCCUAACACAUGCAAGUCGAGCGGAUGAAGGGAGCUUGCUCCUGGAUUCAGCGGCGGACGGGUGAGUAAUGCCUAGGAAUCUGCCUGGUAGUGGGGGAUAACGUCUGGAAACGGGCGCUAAUACCGCAUACGUCCUGAGGGAGAAAGUGGGGGAUCUUCGGACCUCACGCUAUCAGAUGAGCCUAGGUCGGAUUAGCUAGUUGGUGGGGUAAAGGCCUACCAAGGCGACGAUCCGUAACUGGUCUGAGAGGAUGAUCAGUCACACUGGAACUGAGACACGGUCCAGACUCCUACGGGAGGCAGCAGUGGGGAAUAUUGGACAAUGGGCGAAAGCCUGAUCCAGCCAUGCCGCGUGUGUGAAGAAGGUCUUCGGAUUGUAAAGCACUUUAAGUUGGGAGGAAGGGCAGUAAGUUAAUACCUUGCUGUUUUAACGUUACCAACAGAAUAAGCACCGGCUAACUUCGUG